UGGGGAAUAUUGCACAAUGGGCGCAAGCCUGAUGCAGCCAUGCCGCGUGUAUGAAGAAGGCCUUCGGGUUGUAAGUACUUUCAGCGAGGAGGAAGGUGUUGUGGUUAAUAACCACAGCAAUUGACGUUACUCGCAGAAGAAGCACCGGCUAACUCCGUGCAG
RNAcentral lists this ribosomal RNA (162 nucleotides) under uncultured bacterium. Its description in RNAcentral is "partial 16S rRNA". It matches the Rfam family "Bacterial small subunit ribosomal RNA", at positions 355 to 510 of the family's 1533-position model. The record is from RNAcentral.